Molecule: ribosomal RNA, 1118 nt
Filed under: Bacillus sp. C-3-14
Lineage: Bacteria; Bacillati; Bacillota; Bacilli; Caryophanales; Bacillaceae
Description: bacterial SSU rRNA
Rfam family: Bacterial small subunit ribosomal RNA
Source: RNAcentral
UCCGGGAAACCGGGGCUAAUACCGGAUGGUUGUCUGAACCGCAUGGUUCAGACAUAAAAGGUGGCUUCGGCUACCACUUACAGAUGGACCCGCGGCGCAUUAGCUAGUUGGUGAGGUAACGGCUCACCAAGGCGACGAUGCGUAGCCGACCUGAGAGGGUGAUCGGCCACACUGGGACUGAGACACGGCCCAGACUCCUACGGGAGGCAGCAGUAGGGAAUCUUCCGCAAUGGACGAAAGUCUGACGGAGCAACGCCGCGUGAGUGAUGAAGGUUUUCGGAUCGUAAAGCUCUGUUGUUAGGGAAGAACAAGUGCCGUUCAAAUAGGGCGGCACCUUGACGGUACCUAACCAGAAAGCCACGGCUAACUACGUGCCAGCAGCCGCGGUAAUACGUAGGUGGCAAGCGUUGUCCGGAAUUAUUGGGCGUAAAGGGCUCGCAGGCGGUUUCUUAAGUCUGAUGUGAAAGCCCCCGGCUCAACCGGGGAGGGUCAUUGGAAACUGGGGAACUUGAGUGCAGAAGAGGAGAGUGGAAUUCCACGUGUAGCGGUGAAAUGCGUAGAGAUGUGGAGGAACACCAGUGGCGAAGGCGACUCUCUGGUCUGUAACUGACGCUGAGGAGCGAAAGCGUGGGGAGCGAACAGGAUUAGAUACCCUGGUAGUCCACGCCGUAAACGAUGAGUGCUAAGUGUUAGGGGGUUUCCGCCCCUUAGUGCUGCAGCUAACGCAUUAAGCACUCCGCCUGGGGAGUACGGUCGCAAGACUGAAACUCAAAGGAAUUGACGGGGGCCCGCACAAGCGGUGGAGCAUGUGGUUUAAUUCGAAGCAACGCGAAGAACCUUACCAGGUCUUGACAUCCUCUGACAAUCCUAGAGAUAGGACGUCCCCUUCGGGGGCAGAGUGACAGGUGGUGCAUGGUUGUCGUCAGCUCGUGUCGUGAGAUGUUGGGUUAAGUCCCGCAACGAGCGCAACCCUUGAUCUUAGUUGCCAGCAUUCAGUUGGGCACUCUAAGGUGACUGCCGGUGACAAACCGGAGGAAGGUGGGGAUGACGUCAAAUCAUCAUGCCCCUUAUGACCUGGGCUACACACGUGCUACAAUGGACAUAACAAAGGGCAGCGA